AACGAACGCUGGCGGCAUGCCUAACACAUGCAAGUCGAACGAGACCUUCGGGUCUAGUGGCGCACGGGUGCGUAACGCGUGGGAACCUGCCCUUAGGUUCGGAAUAACUCCCCGAAAGGGGUGCUAAUACCGGAUAAUGUCUUCGGACCAAUGAUUUAUCGCCUUUGGCUGGGCCCGCGUUGGAUUAGCUAGUUGGUAGGGUAAAAGCCUACCAAGGCGACGAUCCAUAGCUGGUCUGAGAGGAUGAUCAGCCACCCUGGGACUGGGACACGGCCCAGACUCCUACGGGAGGCAGCAGUGGGGAAUAUUGGACAAUGGGCGAAAGCCUGAUCCAGCAAUGCCGCGUGAGUGAUGAAGGCCUUAGGGUUGUAAAGCUCUUUUACCCGGGAUGAUAAUGACAGUACCGGGAGAAUAAGCUCCGGCUACCUCCUU
Molecule: ribosomal RNA, 432 nt
Filed under: uncultured bacterium
Lineage: Bacteria
Description: partial 16S ribosomal RNA
Rfam family: Bacterial small subunit ribosomal RNA
Source: RNAcentral